Molecule: long non-coding RNA, 787 nt
Organism: Ipomoea nil (Japanese morning glory)
Lineage: Eukaryota; Viridiplantae; Streptophyta; Magnoliopsida; Solanales; Convolvulaceae
Exons: 2
Source: RefSeq, a predicted model, not a curated record
GAUAGUGUGAUACUAUUUCAAGCGGGGCUGAAAUUUACCAGCACUCCAACCACUACACCACAGCGGCGACCCACUCCACUCAUCACCCGUCGCUCCCAAGCAGUUUGACUCCAAGCGAAGAGUCAAAAUCUAAGAUGAGUCUGGCAUGCCUGGUAUGCCAUAGUGUAGAAAGUCCCUUGCACUCUUUCAGGAGUUACUCGGUUUCAAGUUCAGACAACGAAGGAAGAUGCUCCGCCAUUGCCAAUUGCUUGACCAGGAAGACGUUGCUUCCACACUCUUGUGCAAAUGGCGGUGUCACAACGUCUAAGGUGACACCUCAGCCUGCUGGUCAGAGUACCGUAGUAACAGGACCCCCGAGGCUAGUUCGGAGCCGUGCUAUCAGAAGGGACCUCGUUAGAGACUGGAACUUUGAAGGUGUUGUGUUAGAACGCUAAGGCUACACAUAUGAGAAGAAAGCUCGGAGUGAUCGCAGCUGCUAUAUGUGUUGGAUUAAGGAUAGGAUGCCAUAUUCAGUACUUUAGUCUCACUAUUUGUUUCAAAGAAUGUGAGCAUACUAGAUGAAUUUUGAGUCAAGUCAUCUGUUUAUAAUAUUCUCUCUACUCUUGGGCUUCUCAGAACUGAUUUUCGAUCUUUGAUUCGUCGUCGUCUUCAUGAACUUCCAUGUUUUGUAAUGUAAGUCUCAACAGUGAACUUCUUUAGCCUUUUUAGUCGCAGAUAUGUAACAUUCUGAAAGAUGAUUAUGUGACAACAUUAUUGUAGCAUUAUGUAUUUUACCUUUUGGGGUCAA